RNAcentral lists this ribosomal RNA (340 nucleotides) under Staphylococcus aureus. RNAcentral's name for it is "bacterial SSU rRNA". It matches the Rfam family "Bacterial small subunit ribosomal RNA", at positions 1195 to 1533 of the family's 1533-position model. The record is from RNAcentral. Lineage: Bacteria; Bacillati; Bacillota; Bacilli; Caryophanales; Staphylococcaceae.
AUGCCCCUUAUGAUUUGGGCUACACACGUGCUACAAUGGACAAUACAAAGGGCAGCGAAACCGUGAGGUCAAGCAAAUCCCAUAAAGUUGUUCUCAGUUCGGAUUGUAGUCUGCAACUCGACUACAUGAAGCUGGAAUCGCUAGUAAUCGUAGAUCAGCAUGCUACGGUGAAUACGUUCCCGGGUCUUGUACACACCGCCCGUCACACCACGAGAGUUUGUAACACCCGAAGCCGGUGGAGUAACCUUUUAGGAGCUAGCCGUCGAAGGUGGGACAAAUGAUUGGGGUGAAGUCGUAACAAGGUAGCCGUAUCGGAAGGUGCGGCUGGAUCACCUCCUUU